UUAUUUUUAUUAUUAUUAUUAUUAGUGAAAUAUUUGUUUAAUAUCUUAUUCUUCUUAAUGAAAAUAUAAAUAUUUAUAACAAAUUUUUAGGUUUCUUAUGCUAUUGGAGUAGCAGAACCUCUUUCAAUCACAGUUUUUUGAUUAUGGUACUUCUAAAUUAUCUCAAAAUGAACUUUUAGAUAUAGUUAAUAAAAAUUUUGAUUUACGACCUGGGAAAAUCGUUAAAGAAUUGAAUCUUCGUAAUCCCAUUUAUCAACAAACUAGUACAUAUGGACAUUUCGGUCGAGAAGGAUUCACUUGGGAACAGCCAAAAACUCUAAUUCUCGAUUGAUGAGAAUAUAGAUAAAUCAGUUUGACGUUUCUUAUUAUAAAACGUCUAUCGUUCUCAAUAAUCAUAUAUCUCGUAAACGUUCUUCGAGAUUUUCCGACCUCCGCGCUACUUCGCCAAGUCCAUCAAUUCCUUUUGCCAAUUUAGUACUAGCAAGAAGAAUGACAUAUUAGGUUCUCCACAUCACGAGAUACUUGGUAUUAUGUGGUAUUAUAGUACAAAUUUUGUUUAUCCAGUAUGCAGACAAGAGCAGUCAAUUUUUCUCUACUAUUUGAAAACUGAAUUGAAGUUUAUCAAUCAUUAGAUAUAAUGAAACUAUUGACAAUGAGGAAAAAUAAACUAAACUAAACCUGUUAUGAGUAUCUUAUCCUACAUAUGUAUUCGUAACAGUAAAGUAGUUUAUUCAGUGAUGCAAUUCAUUACUGUGGCUUGUAAGUGGUGUGUGUUGGAAGUAAAAAAUGAUAAAAGAACAAUAAUACUUAAAAUGAAAAACAAUCUAUAUUUCAAAAAUGUAUAAAUUGGCAACAUCGGGCCGUGCCUCAAAGCAAAUAUUUGAGAUGAAAACGUUCUCUCAAAUUUUUAACAGUGUUUUAGUACUUUAUAUGAACGUACAUGAAAGUUUGACCAACUUCCUUUUAGAGAAUAUUAAUGUAAUAUUUUAAUAACUUGUGUUUUUACAUAUUCUAGCAAAUUCAAUAAUUAAUAAUAAUGGUGCUUUCAUGUAUGUUUCUUCAUUAGAAUUAUUUAUCGUUCGAGUGCAAAUAUAAACUGGUAACGACUAUGUACAUUAAUUUUAGCAAAGUGGGAAAAUGAAUUAAUUAAAGCGACCAAUUAUAAACGAACUUACUUUUUGCAUAGUUAAACCUUUGUGACAUAUGCAGUAUAAUGUUGACGAGGAGUUAAUAAUAUCGCAUUUAUUUAAAUCUGAUUGUUAAUUAAAACAAAAAUUUUUUAAUUAUAUUUAAAUUUAAGUAAUGGCGAUACUAUUAACUCUCAUAUAUUUAUAUACAUAUAUAUAUAUAUAUAUUUUUUUCCCUCUUUGCUUUGUUUAAUUAGAUAAUUUUAAUAGACAUUUUCGAUCUUGUAAUGUAUAGCAAAUAACGCAAAAUCGAAUGUUAGACCUUAUUUUGUGGAGGUCUAAUACAGAUCGUGUGGCGGAGCUCGAAAAUUAUACGAUUUUUUCAAUUUAGAGUGUGAAGAUCUGUGACAUUAUCGUAUUUUGAACAUCAACAGAAGUGUAAAUGUGAAAAUUUAGUAAAUUCGUUCCGUUAGAUUGAUGUACCGAUCUAUCGUGUAAUGGUAUUGGCAGUGUAAAGAUGCACAAGAUUAUAUGCAAAUCAUAAUAAAAAAAGAUUUUUUAAUAAAAUAUUAAAUUGUCACUGA
Molecule: long non-coding RNA, 1711 nt
Organism: Apis florea (little honeybee)
Lineage: Eukaryota; Metazoa; Arthropoda; Insecta; Hymenoptera; Apidae
Gene: Sam-S
Source: RefSeq, a predicted model, not a curated record